Oreochromis niloticus (Nile tilapia) is the source of this 496-nucleotide long non-coding RNA. RefSeq lists it as uncharacterized. Lineage: Eukaryota; Metazoa; Chordata; Actinopteri; Cichliformes; Cichlidae. The record is from RefSeq and is a predicted model, not a curated record. The transcript has 3 exons.
AGCAGCUGUAAACAAUAGAGAGUAAAGAAUAAUACAAUCUGAACAGAAGGGCUUGGCUUAAUGUAAUUAGCAUAACCUUAAUGCUCACUCUCGAUGGACUCUCAAAGGGCCCGAAUCUGUUUGUGUAUUUUGUUAUUUGUGACUUGAAAAUUCCCCGGUGAUGCACAGACAAUGGAAGAGCAAUAACUGCUUUUUACAUUUCAGAUCAGUGGAGCUCUUACGUGUGAGACGACUAUGACAAUGACGGGAGGGGGUGAGGCAUUCUUAAAGGUCCGACGACCCAACAGCAAUGGAUGACAUACACAGGAUCUGUGCAAAUGACCUGAGAGUAUGGCAACUACUAUUUGUAGCCCUUUGGAACCACCGAGUGUAGUGACACAGAGAGAUGGAGCCACUGGCAAAGACCAGCUUUUGCAAGGAGAGUUGCUGUAGUGUGGGCUCAGGAGAGUGAACACCAAGGCUACGUGUGUGGUGAUGCGUAAUAAAGACAUGUCAG